RNAcentral lists this transfer RNA (74 nucleotides) under Erysipelothrix larvae. It matches the Rfam family "tRNA". From Rfam's summary of the family: Transfer RNA (tRNA) molecules are approximately 80 nucleotides in length. Their secondary structure includes four short double-helical elements and three loops (D, anti-codon, and T loops). The record is from Rfam by way of RNAcentral. Lineage: Bacteria; Bacillati; Bacillota; Erysipelotrichia; Erysipelotrichales; Erysipelotrichaceae.
GCACCCGUGGCGCAAUAGGAUAGCGCAUUUGAUUCCGGUUCAAAAGGUUGUGGGUUCGAUUCCCGCCGGGUGUA